Molecule: long non-coding RNA, 325 nt
Organism: Corticium candelabrum
Lineage: Eukaryota; Metazoa; Porifera; Homoscleromorpha; Homosclerophorida; Plakinidae
Exons: 3
Source: RefSeq, a predicted model, not a curated record
CUGCAAUGAGUUUUGCUUCGAUUAACAAUUUCACGUGUUCUGUAUGUUUGGAAGUGUACAAAAAUCCGGUUAGAACACCAUGCGACCACAUAUUUUGCAAGGAAUGUGUAUCUGCUUGCAAGUCAUGUCCUAUGUGUCGUGGGAGUUUGCCAGACACGUUUACAAAAGACAAAGAAACAGAAAGAAAUUUAAGGAGAUUGACAGUGUCAUGUCCCAUGUGCAACCGAACGGUUCUGCUGAGCUCAUACAGAUCACACUCUGUAGAAUGUGAGACUUUUCAUCCUAUCAGGCCUGUGGUUACAUGUCAUUCUGAAAUGACAACAGA